AAUGAACGCUGGCGGCAUGCCUAACACAUGCAAGUCGAACGAAGGCUUCGGCCUUAGUGGCGCACGGGUGCGUAACACGUGGGAAUCUGCCCUUGGGUUCGGAAUAACAGUCAGAAAUGACUGCUAAUACCGGAUGAUGUCGUAAGACCAAAGAUUUAUCGCCCAAGGAUGAGCCCGCGUAGGAUUAGCUAGUUGGUGAGGUAAAAGCUCACCAAGGCGACGAUCCUUAGCUGGUCUGAGAGGAUGAUCAGCCACACUGGGACUGAGACACGGCCCAGAAUCCUACGGGAGGGAGCAGUGGGGAAUAUUGGACAAUGGGCGAAAGCCUGAUCCAGCAAUGCCGCGGGAGUGAUGAAGGCCUUAGGGUUGUAAAGCUCUUUGACACGGGAUGAGAAUGACAGUAGCCAGAGAAUAAGCUCCGGCUAGCUUCGUGCCAGCCGCCGCGGUAA
Molecule: ribosomal RNA, 449 nt
Filed under: uncultured bacterium
Lineage: Bacteria
Description: partial 16S ribosomal RNA
Rfam family: Bacterial small subunit ribosomal RNA
Source: RNAcentral